ACAAACUUGCAAUCAUAUUCGGGGCUUCAAAACAGCCCCUAACUACUAAAAAUUAGUUACACAGAAUCCUUAAAUAAAAACAAAAGAUAGACAUGAGUUUGAGAAGAUAGAACCAAAAGAAAUCGACCGAGGCAUCCUCCUCCUUUCCUUCCUUCCCCAACGCUGUUUUUAAACCAAUUCUUGCUGCAUCCUUUUCUUCUCCUUACUCACCCACUAAUAGCCAUUUAGUGAUGACAAUAAGUGAGAGGAAAUUGUAAAACAAUUGUAACUCUUUAGGUAGCCUUUAUGCCAAUUUACUCCCUCUUAAUCCUCAUCUUCAAUUCCAUUUCCUUUUAUAUUUGAAUAAGUGUCAGCUGACUUGUUCUUGGCUGCAUCAGUUUUGGCUGCUAGAUUUAUUGGGUUUAUUGCUUUCAUUGCAGUUACAAACUGCUCAGCUUCUUGGUAACCUUUCAGUGUUAAAACAGCCAUAACUUCUUCUAGAAAAAUGAUAUUAACAAUCCGCAAACUACUCCAUAAAAUAGACAUUCGUAGCUUUUCCAGCAUAUAAGGCCCAUUCUCGAAUUCAUUUUGAGCUGUUCACAACUUGCUUCCAAAGUCAGCUGAUUUGCACAGACAUUUUUGACGAAUUUGUUACUUAAAAUCCCACUUGUGCUAUUUUUCUUUUAUUUGCUUGACAAAUCUGACAAAACACAAAAACAAAGUAAAUAGAUCAAAAAUAUAAGGAACUAACUAAGAAAAGAGAAGUGAAUUUGAUGUAAAAUAUAUAUAAACAUGAGCUUAUCAAAAGACUGUGCCAAUAAUCGUGGGUCACCUACGAGUCGGAACCACCUAUAGUGGUUUGUACGACAAGACUGUGCACCUAACUUGGAUCCAAGGUGAGCGUGCAGUGCAGUAGGUGAACAUCACGUGAAGGACUGUGCCCUAACCACGGGCAAGAGCACUAAUACCGGGGUGCAGAUUUAUGAGCUCCCAACACAUCUCACAUAAUCAUCAAUUCACAAUAACAAUCUACUACUCACCUGGUACUUACCUGAGCGUCCACAGCGUCAAAUCACAUUUAUGCAUACCAUAUAAAUUCAUAGUCUAAGCAUAAAUCAAUAGGUAUGGCAUUUCAAAACAUAAUUUCAUUUAAACACAUUUUCUAGGAAAAAUACCAAGUAUAUAAGUAUAUACUGAAAACCAAAAGCCCACUCACUGAUAUGUGGAAGGGUCGUAGCCCCUGAGUCUCGCAUGAUUACGCUCGUCCUCUAGAUAGGUCUCACCUAUAUGCGAAAUAACUAUAUAAACAUUAUUUUAAAGCACAUAACCAAAACUAGGUACUAACAUCUCAUACAUUGCUCAAUUGGGGUGUUUGAAUAUACCAAUGUGAUCUACUCAACCCCACGAACA
This 1389-nucleotide long non-coding RNA is filed under the name Malus domestica (apple). RNAcentral's name for it is "long non-coding RNA (MDOM_LNC012228)". Lineage: Eukaryota; Viridiplantae; Streptophyta; Magnoliopsida; Rosales; Rosaceae. The record is from RNAcentral.